RNAcentral lists this long non-coding RNA (318 nucleotides) under Nicotiana benthamiana. RNAcentral describes it as "long non-coding RNA (NBEN_LNC033450)". Lineage: Eukaryota; Viridiplantae; Streptophyta; Magnoliopsida; Solanales; Solanaceae. The record is from RNAcentral.
UCAAAUCUUCCUCUUUAGGGACAACUUGGAAUCUUCCCAACUGAAUUAGUACCCGAUGGGGAGCAUUUGGUUGGAUGUUACUGAUACCCACUAGCAAAAUAUAACACUCUCCCGCUGCCAUGUGUCCCAUCUCGGUAAUAGGUAACCCCCCGAAUGGCCACUCACUUUGAUUCAUCGUCAGUGACCUCAGUCGUACAACCAAUCUCAGUACCCUCGGGGAAUGAAACACCCGUUACCCGCUUUUGAAAUUCUUCAAUGCAGCUUAAACCCAUCAAACUGUAGUUCAUAUACCCCACUCGGUGGCAGAGAUGUUCUUAC